RNAcentral lists this ribosomal RNA (429 nucleotides) under uncultured bacterium. RNAcentral's name for it is "bacterial SSU rRNA". It matches the Rfam family "Bacterial small subunit ribosomal RNA", at positions 355 to 776 of the family's 1533-position model. The record is from RNAcentral.
UGGGGAAUAUUGGACAAUGGGCGAAAGCCUGAUCCAGCAAUGCCGCGUGUGCGACGAAGGCCUUCGGGUCGUAAAGCACUUUCAAUGGGGAAGAAAGCCAUGGGAUUAAUACCCCUAUGGUCUGACGUGAUCCAUACAAGAAGCACCGGCUAACUCUGUGCCAGCAGCCGCGGUAAUACAGAGGGUGCAAGCGUUAAUCGGAGUUACUGGGCGUAAAGCGCACGUAGGCGGAUGUGCAAGUCAGAUGUGAAAUCCCUGGGCUUAACCUAGGAACUGCAUUUGAUACUGCUCAUCUAGAGUAUGGUAGAGGGAAGUGGAAUUUCCGGUGUAGCGGUGAAAUGCAUAGAUAUCGGAAGGAACAUCAGUGGCGAAGGCGACUUCCUGGACCAAUACUGACGCUGAGGUGCGAAAGCAUGGGGAGCAAACAGG